Molecule: long non-coding RNA, 2929 nt
Organism: Lolium perenne
Lineage: Eukaryota; Viridiplantae; Streptophyta; Magnoliopsida; Poales; Poaceae
Source: RefSeq, a predicted model, not a curated record
CUCAGACCAGCCCUAGCACGCUGCCGCAGAAGCCCAGCCCAGAGCGCCACGCACGCUUGCUAAUUCGCGUCGCCAGAUGCUCCCCGAGUUCUCCGCACCACCGGAGCAUCUCCGUGCCGAACCCAGGAUCCCCGCCGCCACGCAGGUUCUGGAUCUGGUCGUGUUCCCCGGAUGUUGUGCUGAGUUCACCGACCGGCUGGCUCAGAUCCACGCCACCUCUAUCGUUGAGAAGACGCCAUCGUAUGGAGACCUGGGACCUGGGCUCCGUUUUCUGCCGCCCCUCCAGAAGCAGCUCGACGGCACUGAGGCUCCCGUAGAGGAUGGCCUGGUGGAGUAGUGUCAGUCCAAGGAGCUGUCACACCUUCUCUAUCUGAAGAUCUGGUGGACAACGAGUUGUUGGUCCACGUGAACCAUGGAUCGACAAGCGCUCCUGGGACCAACCUGGCGAAGACCGAAGAAAGUGGCUGAACGGGUGCGCGUGUUGGUUCUGUGAGCGUGUGCUGUGGACCAGUUGGCCCAGCUGUAAUAGGCGUGUGUGUGGUUAAAAGGGACCUGAUGGCCCUCAGGGUAUGGUAUGCUGUAGUUGAAUUCUGAAAUACAACUCAUCCCAGUUCGUCUCUAUCUCAUCCCCAAAUUCGUCAUCCCAUCCUUGCUCUUGUUUUCUCAUCUCAAAUUCUUGCUGAUUUCGUGUGUGCCGAUCCCAUCUUAGAUCAGGACACCACAGGAGCAUGGCGCUCAACGUUUACACUAUAGUCCGGGCGUUAUUCUUGAUGUAUUAUGCUUUUCGAUGGAAGGAUGGAUGGAUGCAGCGAGGGCGCAAUCCCAUUGGUUCAUUACUUGGUUGACUAGGAGUGCCAUUGUUUCCUGGCCUGGUCCCCAGUUCUAAGGGAUGAGAUUUAUUGUAUCAUCACGGGGAAGAUGGUUUUUAUUAUUACCGUACAUAAGUACAAGGUUCAGGACUUCUGGUGGGUGAUCCCUGACCCAAAUGACAAAAACAAUAUGUUUUCUGCCGCAUAAAAGAAUCGUUCUCUUUCUAUGACUUAAGGUUGAUUUAGGAUAAGAAGUAAUUAAAGGUAGGUAAACUCGGCAGAACUUUGAACAUCAGUUCAGUCUAUACCUUCGCUAUAGUGGAAGAUUAGUUGACGUGUUAACCUGCUUGUUGCACCUGUCACUUGGGGAUUCUUCUUUGGUGUCUGUCCUUGCCUUAAGAAAAUACAUAUGAUCCAGAAUAAGGUAAUUUUCAGCUAUAUGGGGUUACAAGUCCGCAAUCGUUCUUCCUUCCUUUAUUGACCAUUCCACCGUCGUUUCAUAAAGAUUAAUUUAGGAAAUAUGUGACAGAUGACUGGAAAUGUUGAUUUUACCUCGAAAUUCUGUUCCUGCUCGAUGUCUUUUGUGCAAGUUGCGCGUAUCUGAAUUUCAUGCAAAGUUGUUGCAUAGAUUACUUGCUCUUUAUGAUGUUGUGAUUUUUUUUUACUCUGGUGCAAGAAGGUAUCCUUGCGUCAAUUUCUUGGAAAUAUUAGCAUCUUCAAAUGAAAUUCAUCAUUUAAUCACCCUUAAGUGAGAGGUAUUUCCUUGUACUGAAAUAUAAUACCACCAAUGGUUAUACUCCAGAAUUGCACACAUAUCUCUACCUAGGAUAGAUUACCCCGAUUUUUUUGUUACCCUGUUGCCAAUAAGGCUCUACUGUGUCCAUGUCUUGAGAGUCUUGGCAUAAUAAAAUGAAAUUCUUCAUUUAAUCAUCCGUGAGUUAGACAUAUUUAUCUGUACUUUGUAAUACAAUAUUUAAAGCACAAAGCUUAUACUACCAAUUUCUUCAAAAAAAAAAAAGCUUAUACUACCAAUGUUUUAUAGUAUAGAAUUGCACACAUAUCUCUACCUAGGAUAGCUUAUACGACCAAUGGUUUAAUGUCAUUUUUUACAGUAUAUUUCACCGAAGGAAAUCUAUCUUCACAGAAACAUUGAAUUGAGUAUUUUUUUAUUUUACACAAAGAAUGAUGUAAGCUGCAUGUUAUUUGAAUCAUGCAAUGAAAUAGAGGUUUAUUAUUUAGGUUUAUUUAUAUGGACUGAAAGAUCUUAUGAUUGGGGGAGCAGUAUAGCAAAGAAGGGGUUUCAAGGAUCAGAGUGGGUCGUGCCAUUCUCCAUAUGGGUUCCCCUCGCGACUACCCUUUGGGCAACUAUUCACGCAAUUAACAUUUCCCCUGUGUUGCUCAGGCGAUUAAAGUCAUUUCAGCUCAGUUCUAGAGUUACUCAGUGUUUCAUUUUUGUUCAUUUGCUUCCUGGCUGAUGCAUCUGUAGAAUAUUAGUGGCUAGAUUUGUUCUUAAUCAUUUGGCCUUUCAAAGGAUGAAGCCCAACUUGCCCAAGUACCUCUCGAAGACCUAGCACGUGGUCAUAUCCUUCACAUGUUGUUUAUAUACAGGGAAACUGAGUUGUUUUCCCUCCCGUUCAAGAUGGAUGCCAUGAGUUUUUCUUGAUAUUAAUCACAUGGAUUUUGGUGUAUCCAAUAAUAAGAAGUUAUUUGAUCACAUAGUAAGGGUUAUUCUCUUUUUUUCUUCUGUUUUCUAAUAUACAUGAGUGUUUUGGCUGAUGUUCUCUUCAGAAAUAGAGGUCAACUGCUGUUGUUUCCCUUGUGGCAGUGGAGAUGAUGGGUAUUAUUGUUUCAAGAUUACUUCUGUUUUGAGAGAGUUUUGAGAUGAUGGGCAUUAUUGUUUCAAGCCUGAGACCAAGCAUGCAACCCAGUAGCGAAGCUGGCAGCGACAACAACAACAUUUUAAUGUGGAAUUUUUUUCUGAGAAUUGGUGCGGCUUAUAAAAGAGACUUUUUUAUUCUUUUGGUUUACAUUUAACUAUGGGAAUCACAACACUUUAGAGGAAUCAUUUUCCAUUAAGCAACUUUCUUAAACUAUUUGUACAUGGUAACAUGUGAACUAAA